CCUCGACCUGAGUUCAGGCAGGGACACCC
This 29-nucleotide ribosomal RNA is filed under the name Phyllodictyon orientale. RNAcentral's name for it is "partial 28S ribosomal RNA". The record is from RNAcentral. Lineage: Eukaryota; Viridiplantae; Chlorophyta; Ulvophyceae; Cladophorales; Boodleaceae.